UUAACCUACCACUUCACUGGGCACGUGUACAAUAGGGAACGCAGAUCAGAAAUCAGUCAACAACAACGCAGGUUAAGCGUGGUUGAGAAGAAAGAAACAUGUCGGAAGAUAACAGAUAUGAGUUUACAUUAGCAGACAGCAAGGAACCACCCAAGAAAUCUAGACUUGUACUAUGCCUGGGUGGCUCUGUGCUCUUGUUGUCCGUAGCGGUCAUCGCAGCGGUGAGCGCCAUGAUUUAUCAAUAUUUUGCUCUGUCUGCAAAGAUGAACCACCUGACUGUCACUUGUAAGCCAGCUGACGUUGUCAAACAAUACCCGGGUUAUUUUCGGACACCACUGGAACAGAUCGAAGUAGAGCGGCGGUAUAAUCAGGAUUCACAAUACCUGA
Liolophura sinensis is the source of this 387-nucleotide long non-coding RNA. RefSeq lists it as uncharacterized. The record is from RefSeq and is a predicted model, not a curated record. The transcript is spliced from 4 exons. Lineage: Eukaryota; Metazoa; Mollusca; Polyplacophora; Chitonida; Chitonidae.